UUUGGUCCUCUGCUUCUCCAAUCCUCUUUCCGCCGACUACCCAACCCUCUUCCCCCUCUGAGCUCUGGGUCUCGGGGCCUGGAUUCGCCAUUUCCAAGACGGGCCAGUUCCAGACCCAGCUAUGCAGCUGCCAGCUGGAUGGCACGGAGUCUCUGAACGAAUGUCAUUCCCGCAUUGAUUUCUUCAAGCAUCACAGGCUUUUCAGGCGCUCCGUCACUUGGGGCCACCUGGCUUGGGCCAGUGGGCUGCAGCGAGACGAUCUGAUUCUGAAGGCGCAGUAGAGAGGAAACGUCAGGACUGCAGUGGAUCCCAGCUCUUCUACCGCCGCUGCUGUGCUGCCUCAGGCUGGUCCCUCACCCUCUCUGUGCCCGGGUUUCCCCACCUGGGCAGUUCAAAGGAUUACAAGGGAUCACAGAGCCCACUCAUGCAUGUCAGGAGGCCACCAGAUUCCACCCUCGGCUCAGGCAGCAUUCGUAUGAAAAUCUAUGCAGUUAAGAACAGGAGGAGGAUGGGGCCCUGACGACCCCCACCUCCCGGCCCGGCCCAGCAACCUCCCGGGGCCUUCUCUGGGGUCCGCCCACCCACGCUCACCGGGGACAGGGACUCCAGACUUCCCACCACGACUGCCCCCGCCAUGCACAGUGCCAGGGGACAAGAGGGGAGCAGGCCAGCAGGGUCACUCCCGGUCUCCCCCGGUGCAGGCUGGACCUCAGUGGGGGCACCAUUAUCUGCCCUGCGCACCCCUGAGCUGGUCCCCCGCAGCUGGCGCACCUGAGUCUCUGGAGCAGUUGAUGCCUGCGGAUCAAACCUUUAAAUGGCAGGUCCGCAGUUUGGGCCUCACUGUUACUGCUCCGUUCACUGUGGUCUGAGUCCCUGAGUGCUGGGGUGUAUCAGCGAGACCCCCAUGCGGUGCAGGCCCACGGUUUCCAACGUCUACUCUAAGCUCCAGUGCAAAUGCCCCCACCCCACCCC
Phacochoerus africanus (Common warthog) is the source of this 972-nucleotide long non-coding RNA. RefSeq lists it as uncharacterized. The transcript is spliced from 3 exons. The record is from RefSeq and is a predicted model, not a curated record. Lineage: Eukaryota; Metazoa; Chordata; Mammalia; Artiodactyla; Suidae.